This 426-nucleotide ribosomal RNA is filed under the name Triticum aestivum (bread wheat). RNAcentral's name for it is "partial small subunit ribosomal RNA". Lineage: Eukaryota; Viridiplantae; Streptophyta; Magnoliopsida; Poales; Poaceae. The record is from RNAcentral.
AUGGGCGCCGGCACCUGCAGCUUGUGUACAAUGGUGACUCCACGCAUCUCCUGCGCCCCGCAACCCUCUCCUUCCCGGCACAGGAGGAGCAGGAGCAAGGAUGCUGAGGCGGUUCAGGGAGCUUUGGAUGGUGGUCUUGGUAUUCCGCACAGUGACAAGAGAUUUGCUGGCUUCAAGAAGGAUAAGAAGCAGCUGGGCGCUGAGAUUCACCUUAAAUACAUCUAUGAAGGUCAUGUUGCUGACUACAUGAAGUCAAUAGCUGAUGAGGAACCUAAGAAGUACCAAUCUCACUUCAGUGAGUACAUCAAGAAGAAUAUUGCGGCCGAUGACAUGGAAGCACUGUACAAGAAGGUUCAUGCUGCCAUUUGUGCUUAUCAUACCAUGGCAAAAUCAACUAAGGAACCUCCAAAGACGCACAAGAGUUAG